This 298-nucleotide RNase P RNA is filed under the name Candidatus Andersenbacteria bacterium RIFCSPHIGHO2_01_FULL_46_36. Its description in RNAcentral is "RNase P RNA component class A". It matches the Rfam family "Bacterial RNase P class A". From Rfam's summary of the family: Ribonuclease P (RNase P) is a ubiquitous endoribonuclease, found in archaea, bacteria and eukarya as well as chloroplasts and mitochondria. Its best characterised activity is the generation of mature 5'-ends of tRNAs by cleaving the 5'-leader elements of precursor-tRNAs. The record is from RNAcentral. RNAcentral also lists the same sequence under 2 other names. Lineage: Bacteria; Candidatus Anderseniibacteriota.
GCAGAUGGAUGGACAAUCGCCCUUAGGGGAGGAAAGUCCGGACACUAAAAAAGGGUGGCAGGUAACGCCUGCCGGGCGCAAGCCCAGGGAUCAGUGCAACAGAAACAUACCGCCUUCGGGUAAGGGUGAAAUCGUGAGGUAAGAGCUCACGCGGAUUGGCAGUAAUGCCAGUACGGUGAAAACCCCACCUGGUGCAACCUCAAACAAUGGUAGAGGGCAAAGAAACCAGCAGCAAUGUUGGUUCAAGAUAGAUGAUUGUCUUCAAUGACAGAAUCCGGCUUACAGUCCAUCUGCAACU